GGAUUGUGGCUCAGUGGUAGAGUAUUCGCCUAGCAUGUUCGAGGCCCUGGGUUCGAUCCUCAGCACCA
This 68-nucleotide transfer RNA is filed under the name Marmota monax (woodchuck). Its description in RNAcentral is "tRNA.Ala". Lineage: Eukaryota; Metazoa; Chordata; Mammalia; Rodentia; Sciuridae. The record is from RNAcentral.